CAGUAGCCGCGGUAAAACGUAGGUGGCAAGCGUUGUCCGGAAUUAUUGGGCGUAAAGGGCUCGCAGGCGGUUUCUUAAGUCUGAUGUGAAAGCCCCCGGCUCAACCGGGGAGGGUCAUUGGAAACUAGGAAACUUGAGUGCAGAAGAGGAGAGUGGAAUUCCACGUGUAGCGGUGAAAUGCGUAGAGAUGUGGAGGAACACCAGUGGCGAAGGCGACUCUCUGGUCUGUAACUGACGCUGAGGAGCGAAAGCGUGGGGAGCGAACAGGAUUAGAUACCCGUGUAGUCCCUGUCUCUUAUAC
Molecule: ribosomal RNA, 301 nt
Filed under: uncultured bacterium
Lineage: Bacteria
Description: partial 16S ribosomal RNA
Rfam family: Bacterial small subunit ribosomal RNA
Source: RNAcentral